AUAACUACUGGAAACGGUGGCUAAUACCGCAUAACGUCGCAAGACCAAAGAGGGGGACCUUCGGGCCUCUUGCCAUCAGAUGUGCCCAGAUGGGAUUAGCUAGUUGGUGAGGUAACGGCUCACCAAGGCGACGAUCCCUAGCUGGUCUGAGAGGAUGACCAGCCACACUGGAACUGAGACACGGUCCAGACUCCUACGGGAGGCAGCAGUGGGGAAUAUUGCACAAUGG
RNAcentral lists this ribosomal RNA (229 nucleotides) under Salmonella enterica subsp. enterica serovar Anatum. Its description in RNAcentral is "partial 16S ribosomal RNA". It matches the Rfam family "Bacterial small subunit ribosomal RNA", at positions 143 to 374 of the family's 1533-position model. Lineage: Bacteria; Pseudomonadati; Pseudomonadota; Gammaproteobacteria; Enterobacterales; Enterobacteriaceae. The record is from RNAcentral.